CACGGAGGGUUUGAUCCUGGCUCAGGAUGAACGUUUGCGGCGCGCCUAAGACAUGCAAGUCGUACGGGCCUCGCGUUCUUCGGAAGGCGAGGUCAGUGGCAGACGGGUGCGUAACACGUGGGUGACCUGCCCCGAAGUGGGGGAUAACCACUCGAAAGGGUGGCUAAUACCGCAUGUGCUUGGCGAUUCGGUUCGCCAAGGAAAGCCGCAAGGCGCUUCGGGAGGGGCCCGCGGCCCAUCAGCUCGUUGGUAGGGUAACGGCCUACCAAGGCGAUGACGGGUAGGGGGCGUGAGAGCGCGGCCCCCCACACUGGCACUGAGACACGGGCCAGACUCCUACGGGAGGCAGCAGUUAGGAAUCUUGCACAAUGGGCGAAAGCCUGAUGCAGCGACGCCGCGUGGGCGAAGAAGGCCUUCGGGUCGUAAAGCCCUUUUCUGGGGGAAGAGGAAGGACGGUACCCCAGGAAUAAGUCUCGGCUAACUACGUGCCAGCAGCCGCGGUAAAACGUAGGAGGCGAACGUUAUCCGGAUUUACUGGGCGUAAAGCGCGCGAAGGCGGCUUCGCAAGUCGGGCGUGAAAUCUCCCGGCUCAACUGGGAGGGGCCGUUCGAUACUGCGAGGCUUGAGGACGGGAGAGGGGAGUGGAAUUCCCGGUGUAGCGGUGGAAUGCGCAGAGAUCGGGAGGAACACCAGUGGCGAAGGCGGCUCCCUGGCCCGGUCCUGACGCUCAAGCGCGAAAGCGUGGGGAGCGAACGGGAUUAGAUACCCCGGUAGUCCACGCCGUAAACGAUGGGUGCUAGGUGUUGGUGGUGUUGACCCCAUCAGUGCCGAAGCUAACGCGAUAAGCACCCCGCCUGGGGACUACGGCCGCAAGGCUAAAACUCAAAGGAAUUGACGGGGGCCCGCACAAGCAGCGGAGCGUGUGGUUUAAUUCGAUGCAACACGAAGAACCUUAC
Molecule: ribosomal RNA, 956 nt
Filed under: Anaerolineae bacterium
Lineage: Bacteria; Bacillati; Chloroflexota; Anaerolineae
Description: bacterial SSU rRNA
Rfam family: Bacterial small subunit ribosomal RNA
Source: RNAcentral